GCCACUGUGGCUUAGCGGUAUAGCACUCGCCUUGUAAGCGAGCGGUCGAGGGUUCAAAUCCCUCCAGUGGCU
This 72-nucleotide transfer RNA is filed under the name Thermoplasmatales archaeon BRNA1. RNAcentral describes it as "tRNA-Thr (TGT) (tRNA-Thr-TGT-1-1)". It matches the Rfam family "tRNA". From Rfam's summary of the family: Transfer RNA (tRNA) molecules are approximately 80 nucleotides in length. Lineage: Archaea; Methanobacteriati; Thermoplasmatota; Thermoplasmata; Thermoplasmatales. The record is from Rfam by way of RNAcentral.